Molecule: ribosomal RNA, 870 nt
Filed under: uncultured bacterium
Lineage: Bacteria
Description: bacterial SSU rRNA
Rfam family: Bacterial small subunit ribosomal RNA
Source: RNAcentral
GAUGAACGCUAGCGGCAGGCCUAACACAUGCAAGUCGAACGGUAACAUUGGUGCUUGCACCAGAUGACGAGUGGCGCACGGGUGCGUAACGCGUAUACAAUCUACCUUUUACAGGGGGAUAGCCCAGAGAAAUUUGGAUUAAUACCUCAUAGUAUUAUUUAAUGGCAUCAUUAGAUAAUUAAAGAUUUAUCGGUAAAAGAUGAGUAUGCGUUCUAUUAGUUAGUUGGAGUAGUAACGGCACCCCAAGACAGCGAUAGAUAGGGGCCCUGAGAGGGGGAUCCCCCACACUGGUACUGAGACACGGACCAGACUCCUACGGGAGGCAGCAGUGAGGGAUAUUGGACAAUGGAGGCAACUCUGAUCCAGCCAUGCCGCGUGCAGGAAGACUGCCCUAUGGGUUGUAAACUGCUUUUAUACAGGAAGAAACCGCUCUACGUGUAGAGCUCUGACGGUACUGUAAGAAUAAGGAUCGGCUAACUCCGUGCCAGCAGCCGCGGUAAUACGGAGGAUCCAAGCGUUAUCCGGAAUCAUUGGGUUUAAAGGGUCCGUAGGUGGAUAAUUAAGUCAGAGGUGAAAGUCUGCAGCUCAACUGUAGAAUUGCCUUUGAUACUGGUUAUCUUGAAUUAUUAUGAAGUAGUUAGAAUAUGUAGUGUAGCGGUGAAAUGCAUAGAUAUUACAUAGAAUACCAAUUGCGAAGGCAGAUUACUAAUAAUAUAUUGACACUGAUGGACGAAAGCGUGGGGAGCGAACAGGAUUAGAUACCCUGGUAGUCCACGCCGUAAACGAUGGUUACUAGCUGUUCGGACUUCGGUCUGAGUGGCUAAGCGAAAGUGAUAAGUAACCCACCUGGGGAGUACGUUCGCAAGAAUG